This 28-nucleotide non-coding RNA is filed under the name Cricetulus griseus (Chinese hamster). Lineage: Eukaryota; Metazoa; Chordata; Mammalia; Rodentia; Cricetidae. The record is from RNAcentral.
CUCAUUUAAUUACUGUUGUCUGUACAUU